This 574-nucleotide ribosomal RNA is filed under the name Clarireedia homoeocarpa. RNAcentral's name for it is "SSU rRNA". It matches the Rfam family "Eukaryotic small subunit ribosomal RNA", at positions 558 to 1136 of the family's 1831-position model. The record is from RNAcentral. Lineage: Eukaryota; Fungi; Ascomycota; Leotiomycetes; Helotiales; Rutstroemiaceae.
AGUCUGGUGCCAGCAGCCGCGGUAAUUCCAGCUCCAAUAGCGUAUAUUAAAGUUGUUGCAGUUAAAAAGCUCGUAGUUGAACCUUGGGCCUGGCUGACCGGUCCGCCUCACCGCGUGCACUGGUUCGGCCGGGCCUUUCCUUCUGGGGAGCCGCAUGCCCUUCACUGGGUGUGUCGGGGAACCAGGACUUUUACUUUGAAAAAAUUAGAGUGUUCAAAGCAGGCCUAUGCUCGAAUACAUUAGCAUGGAAUAAUAGAAUAGGACGUGUGGUUCUAUUUUGUUGGUUUCUAGGACCGCCGUAAUGAUUAAUAGGGAUAGUCGGGGGCAUCAGUAUUCAAUUGUCAGAGGUGAAAUUCUUGGAUUUAUUGAAGACUAACUACUGCGAAAGCAUUUGCCAAGGAUGUUUUCAUUAAUCAGUGAACGAAAGUUAGGGGAUCGAAGACGAUCAGAUACCGUCGUAGUCUUAACCAUAAACUAUGCCGACUAGGGAUCGGGCGAUGUUAUCUUUUUGACUCGCUCGGCACCUCACGAGAAAUCAAAGUUUUUGGGUUCUGGGGGGNGUAUGGUCGCAAGG